GAGCAAGAGAAGAGGAAAAGCUUGAAGCUAACGGAAUUUGCCGGAUUAACUCAGGUAAGGGGGGUUUAUCAUCGGUUAACGGGUAUUAUGUGAUGAUAUGUACUGGGUAGUAAUAAACUAUUGUUUUACCUCUGAUUAGAUUGAUGUAUGCUGAAAAUGGUGAAAUAUUGGAUGAACGAAAUUGGGAUUUUAAUCGAAGGAAUUCGUAGAAAUUAUAUGUAGUGAUGUUAGGAUUUGUGAAAUCGAAUAGGGGAUGAU
Molecule: long non-coding RNA, 258 nt
Filed under: Lathyrus oleraceus (garden pea)
Lineage: Eukaryota; Viridiplantae; Streptophyta; Magnoliopsida; Fabales; Fabaceae
Description: Pisum sativum (pea) long non-coding RNA (PSAT_LNC015150)
Source: RNAcentral